RNAcentral lists this ribosomal RNA (329 nucleotides) under uncultured eukaryote. Its description in RNAcentral is "partial 18S ribosomal RNA". It matches the Rfam family "Eukaryotic small subunit ribosomal RNA", at positions 1470 to 1796 of the family's 1831-position model. The record is from RNAcentral.
UCCUUAGAUGUCCUGGGCUGCACGCGCGCUACACUGACGAACUCAACGAGCUUAUCACCUUGGCAGAGAUGUCUGGGUAAUCUUUUGAAAGUUCGUCGUGCUGGGGAUAGAUGAUUGUAAUUAUUCGUCUUGAACGAGGAAUUCCUAGUAAGUGUGAGUCAUCAGCUCGCGCUGAUUACGUCCCUGCCCUUUGUACACACCGCCCGUCGCUCCUACCGAUUGAAUGGUCCGGUGAGGUUCUCGGAUUUUUUCUGUUGUUUGGUUCGCUAAACGAUUGAAGAGAGAAGUUACCCAAACCUUACCAUUUAGAGGAAGGAGAAGUCGUAACA